Non-coding RNA from Camelina sativa (false flax), 1387 nucleotides. NCBI's taxonomy places the organism in Eukaryota, Viridiplantae, Streptophyta, Magnoliopsida, Brassicales, Brassicaceae. The record is from RefSeq and is a predicted model, not a curated record.
AUGCCCGAUAUGUCAUUUAGCAGGGCGGACUUGGACCUUUAAAUUGAUGCCUAAAAAAGAGCGGGUUUCGCGGACUCGACCCGUUUGGUUUGCGGGUCAGGCGGUUUUGUCCGUUUGCGACCACGGGUUUGCGGGUGGUCUAAAGAAUCUUUUGUCUUCUCCGGUUCUUCCAACCUGUGUCAAUUCAUCUUGAAUUCUCCAUGAAUUGGGAGAUUUUUCUUAUGAAGUUGAGUGAAGAACGGUACGAAAUGAACCAAUGAUCAAGAGAUGGCAUAUCAAUUGACGUGAAUUGCUACCAUGAGUCUAAGCCGUUGCAAGCCAAAAAAUUGCCGCCAUGAGUGUAAGAAGAGCUAUCUUGUAGCCACGACAGGUUCAAAUGGUGUUUCGAGGUCGUUGGGAUGCUUCAAGAGAGAAAGAAGAUGGAGCUAGACCCAUGAGAAAUACGUUUAUCUGCAGAUAAAGCAUAACGAGGUAAUGCAAUUAGGAGAUAAAAUUUGGUUGCCUGUGUCAAUCGCUGAGAUGAGGAUUUCUAAGAGAUAUGACACUAUACCAAGUGGAACCUUGUAUCCAAACGCAGAUGAAAUCGCAUAUCUUCAAAGACUUGUCAGGUUCAAGGACUCUGCUAUUAUAGUUCUUAAUAAGCCGCCUAAGCUUCCAGUCAAGGGAAAUGUUCAUAUACAUAACAGCAUGGAUGCACUUGCAGCUGCAGCAGAGGUUUAUGACAACCAACGUUUUCAUAAAACGGUUGAGACUGAGAGACAUGUUCCAUGAAUCAUCUUUUUUCCUCGAUGUGAGGCAAAGACAUAUAAGUUGCUAUUUGCUAAGUAGGAAGACAAUAAGCAUCCAUGGCUGAUGGUGUUUCAUGGGGCAUGGGGGAAGAUGCUAUUGAAGAAGAAGAGGUGAUGACGAUGCAUCUAGUGAGCCAAACUGGGGUAUUGACUGUUCUACUGUUGUUACAGUUAAAGAAUUGCAUAUUAGUUCUCCUAUCUUGGCUGCUAAAGGCCCUUUUUCUAUAAGCUGUUUUCUAAUGGAAUGAGGGAAUCCUUUUGCUUCUUGUUUUCUUGCUCGUAACGAUCGUACGGAGCUGGGUGGAGGAGAAGAAGAAGAUGCCCGCAGGCAUGCCCGUUAGUCCGCAAAGAUAAGCGGAGCGGGCAUGGGCACUGAUAGGUCGCCCGCUGCCCGCAGCGGACCUGUCCGCGGUGGAUCACUGAAAAGACGGGACCAUCGCGGUCAGCCUGUUUGGGCGCGGGCAUGCCCGUUUGACAUUUCUAGGUUUCAUUCAUCCCUUUAUAAAAUAAAGAAAUAAAAUCUGUAUACAUUAUUAUAAAAUUAGAAACUUAAACCGCUGUUUUAUAAACUCUAACCGAUAUAUAAUUUUGUUCUAAUU